This is a long non-coding RNA of Lates calcarifer (barramundi perch), 830 nucleotides long. RefSeq lists it as uncharacterized. The record is from RefSeq and is a predicted model, not a curated record. The transcript has 3 exons. NCBI's taxonomy places the organism in Eukaryota, Metazoa, Chordata, Actinopteri, Centropomidae.
AAAGAGGGAGAGAAGAAAAGAGCCAGAAGGGGGCAUACUGCUCUCUCUUUACUCUGGUCUUUUGGUGAAUGAGGACUUUUCACAAUGCCCUCUCCUUUUUCUUUAUUUUUUUUUUCAUUCUUCCAUUGGCAAAAAAAAGAGAGAAAAAAGAAAAAACAGCAUUUCCCAUUGCGUUUCGCCAAAUUGUUUUUGCCAUAUCAAAAACAAUUAUCCUCAGGUGAGGAAUGCGCCUGCAGAAUUACAACCAUUCCAGGGAGAGAAAGAGGUCUUCACAAAUCUGACUGGCUUCCAGGCAGCCAAGACCCCCUCGAAGUGGUAAUGAAAAGUGUAACUUUAGCCUCCCAGCUGUACGUCUCAAUCCAUAAUCCUUCCCCAAAAACCUCACCGUAGAGCCGCCUACCACUCCCAUGGCGCUCCCAGCCUGUGCCGGGCUGGGCCUGCACUGAUUUAUGUGGCAGUCCCGUGUCAUACUCUCAACCUGAAAAGGAUUUGCUCUCCUAUAUUUACCAGGGUGGUCAGGGCAGCUCUCUGGAAACACAGAAAGCCCAGUUACCGGGCCUCACUCCCAGACAUUCUUUUUACCCCUCUGUGCCCAUUACGUGGACAUUUUGGACCUUACCAGAAUCAGACGAAGCUUCAGUGUUUCCAUAGUGGUGUGUUUCACCAGUGCAGAGGUCAGAGUCCACGCACCCGCAGCCCACGCCGCCACAUAGCUGCAUUUUUGGUAUGCAGAUGCACAGACACAGGGUCCGGUUCAGCUCCUCAUGUCCAUCCGUCUGUGACAUGGAAAAGAUGCCCAGCAAAUAGACUCAUCUCUGCCUCCCAUCUAG